CAGGGAGAAUAUGGGGGAAGGGAGCAGGGUGGGGAAGGAGGAGAGGGGUACUAGUCGCCAUCCGGACCUCCCUCCCAUGCUCUCCAGCGGCCCCUCGCUCCCCUCGCCUCACUGUACCAGACUCCAGAUGUUCGACAUAUUUUUUUGUGACUUUACAGAACCAAAAUCAACUAAAACAGACUCUUCCGGAUGCCGCAUCUCAGCCCCUACACUAUCUCCCCCUCUGCCUCGUCACUCCGUGAUGCCUCCCCCCAGCAGUGCUCUGCCACCUCACCCCGUCUCCUCCCCUCUGAUUUUCCCUCCACUGCCUGUCUUACCCUCGCCUCACCUGUGUGUUACUGUCGUCCUGAUAUGAAGCUUGGUGUUACAGCUCCCACGCAUACCAACCAAUAGAGUAACCUCACCCACAAACACACACAAACAAGAGACACACCUUUAUUGUACACAUGCAUGAAACACACACAUACAGUACAUACCGCAGAUGCCAGCGCAGACACACACACACACUGGGCAAACAGGUGUAAACUGUAGGACAUUGUCUGGUGUGUAGAUACAGUUUAACCUCUGCAGUCCACAACAAUAACAAUAACUCACUGAGGGACUGAGGCAGGGUACAAGAGGGGGAGUAAUGCGCUGUUUGUGUGCCUGUGUGUUCAUGUUAGCUUAUAUGUGUGUGUGCAUGUGUAGCUGCUGGUGUAUAAAGUAACUCUCCAGAGGCGUGUGCAGGGAAUCGUUCUUUGAGGACAGAUAUCAUUCUGUUUUGUGUGCAGUAGUUAGAUAGUUAGCUACAGUAGACUGCAUGAACAGUUGUGUAGAAUGACGUCUCGUGUUGUAACUGUAGAGUAGCAGCUGCUCCGUGUAGCUUCGUAUGGCUUAGUGUGUGUUUGGCCUCGACGUUUAGAAACAGGGUUUUAACCAGGAAGCAAUACACAAUGCUCAUUUUUCUCAGCUGUUAGAGCGUAAACCUGAAUUGUGUUCAUGUGAUGCAUGAGAAAACAAGAGCAGUUAUUUCACAAGUAAUUUAACUUCAAAUGUUCAAGGAAUUUCUCAAAAACAAGCAAUGAGCUAAAUUAAAGUGAGAAGAAAACCAGUUUUUCAUACCGAAAUUCUGAUUGGUUCAUGGGAAUUCAGGACAUGGUCUCCUUUUUCACCAGUGGCACAACAAAAGUGCUUAAAAUGCUGUACAAUACAAUUAGAGCAAAUUCAUUUGGUGGCCGUUCAAACAUCAUGGCUUGAGCAUUUCUCUCAAUGAAACAUAUAGCUUCAGAAUCUGUGGGAUGUUGUUUUCAAAGUAAGAGCUGCUUAAGGGGAAAUAUGAGCAGCUGAUACUGACAUCCUCUUGUUAUCGUGUAGUUGCUUUUUAGUCUUUGUGAAACUGGUUUGCAUGCCAUCAGGAGAAACCCUCACCGUGUGGACUUUAGUGUGUUAGUUCUGUGAUAACAAAAAUGAUGAUUCAAAGAGGCAGUCAGUCUGCAAAGAGAGCAGAAUUAACGUUUUUUUUAAAUGUUUAUCAUGGAUCCGCUUUUGUGUAGUUAUAUGUACAGCUUGAAUUCUGGGAUGUGUAGUUGUUUUUUAGGGUCGUUUUUAUUUCACACUAACAAGUCUGUACCCUGGCUGUUCGGGAGCUCCCGCCCAUCAACUGUCUCAGCCAAUCAGAGGAUUCCCUAUUCCUCUCAGUCAGUGUGAUGCCACCUUUCACUGCUUGUCUGCCCAGCCUUGGUGUGUAUGUCUGUAUGCACUGUAUGUGUGUGUUUAUAUAAAUAUAUGUGUGUGCGUUAAUAUAGAACCGGGUCAGCCAGCAUAGUGUGUGUGUGUUUGUGUCUGGAGCAGGUUUGUGUGUUUUUACUUUGAGGCCAAUGGAAACUGAUGACUGCAUGUUGCCUUAUUAAGCAAUCUGACAUUCACACUCACAGAUUACACGCAACAUCACAGUACCAACACAUACACAGCACACUUUAAACAACACGCAAUCACAAAUCCCAACUCGCAUACACAAACACAAAUCACACACCAUGUUUAAGUUGGCAUCAAAGCAGACUCGCUGAUUUUAUAAACAGUACCAGUGAAAUUAAAAAGGUUUUGUUGAAAUCCA
Molecule: long non-coding RNA, 2092 nt
Organism: Trematomus bernacchii (emerald rockcod)
Lineage: Eukaryota; Metazoa; Chordata; Actinopteri; Perciformes; Nototheniidae
Exons: 2
Source: RefSeq, a predicted model, not a curated record